RNAcentral lists this ribosomal RNA (253 nucleotides) under uncultured bacterium. Its description in RNAcentral is "partial 16S ribosomal RNA". It matches the Rfam family "Bacterial small subunit ribosomal RNA", at positions 524 to 776 of the family's 1533-position model. The record is from RNAcentral.
UACGUAGGUGGCAAGCGUUGUCCGGAUUUACUGGGCGUAAAGAGCGCGCAGGCGGUCGUUCAAGUCGCGUGUGAAAGCCCCCGGCUCAACUGGGGAGGGUCACGCGAUACUGAUCGACUCGAAGGCAGGAGAGGGUAGUGGAAUUCCCGGCGUAGUGGUGAAAUGCGUAGAUAUCAUGAGGAAUACCAGAGGCGAAGGCGGCUACCUGGACAAUUGCUGACGCUCAGGCACGAAAGCGUGGGGAGCAAAAGGG